Molecule: ribosomal RNA, 121 nt
Filed under: Diaphorina citri (Asian citrus psyllid)
Lineage: Eukaryota; Metazoa; Arthropoda; Insecta; Hemiptera; Psyllidae
Source: RNAcentral
GCCAGCGGUGAUAGAACGUUGAAUGUACCAGUUCCCAAUCAAUCACUGAAGUUAAGCAACGUUGUAUUUGGUUCGUAUCCCAAAGAGUGACCAUCAGUGACCACCUGGGUAAUCGCGUGAG